Molecule: ribosomal RNA, 245 nt
Filed under: uncultured bacterium
Lineage: Bacteria
Description: partial 16S ribosomal RNA
Rfam family: Bacterial small subunit ribosomal RNA
Source: RNAcentral
UACAGAGGUGGCGAGCGUUGUUCGGAUUUACUGGGCGUAAAGGGUGCGUAGGUGGUUCUGUGUGUCGGAUGUGAAAGCUCACUGCUUAACGGUGAAAUGGCAUUCGAAACUGCGGAACUGGAGUGCAGGAGAGGAGAGCGGAAUACUUGGUGUAGCGGUGGAAUGCGUUGAUAUCAAGUAGAACACCGGUGGCGUAGGCGGCUCUCUGGAAUGCAACUGACACUGAGGCACGAAAGUUGGGGGAG